RNAcentral lists this ribosomal RNA (466 nucleotides) under uncultured bacterium. Its description in RNAcentral is "partial 16S ribosomal RNA". It matches the Rfam family "Bacterial small subunit ribosomal RNA", at positions 339 to 795 of the family's 1533-position model. The record is from RNAcentral.
CUACGGGGCGCAGCAGUGAGGAAUAUUGCGCAAUGGGGGAAACCCUGACGCAGCGACGCCGCGUGGAUGAUGAAGGCUUUCGAGUCGUAAAAUCCUGUCAGAUGGGAAGAAGUGUAUGAGGGAACAAUACCCCUUGUAUUUGACGGUACCAUCAAAGGAAGCACCGGCUAACUCCGUGCCAGCAGCCGCGGUAAUACGGAGGGUGCAAACGUUGUUCGGAAUUACUGGGCGUAAAGCGCGCGUAGGCGGUUUGUUAAGUCAGAUGUGAAAGUCCAUGGCUCAACCAUGGAAGUGCAUUUGAUACUGGCGAACUUGAGUACUGGAGGGGGUAGUGGAAUUCCCGGUGUAGAGGUGAAAUUCGUAGAUAUCGGGAGGAAUACCGGUGGCGAAGGCGACUACCUGGCCAGAUACUGACGCUGAGGUGCGGAAGCGUGGGGAGCAAACAGGAUUAGAUACCCCCGUAGUC